Molecule: ribosomal RNA, 253 nt
Filed under: uncultured bacterium
Lineage: Bacteria
Description: partial 16S ribosomal RNA
Rfam family: Bacterial small subunit ribosomal RNA
Source: RNAcentral
UACGAAGGGGGCUAGCGUUGCUCGGAAUCACUGGGCGUAAAGCGCACGUAGGCGGAUUGUUAAGUCAGGGGUGAAAUCCUGGAGCUCAACUCCAGAACUGCCUUUGAUACUGGCGAGCUUGAGUCCGGGAGAGGUGAGUGGAACUGCGAGUGUAGAGGUGAAAUUCGUAGAUAUUCGCAAGGACACCAGUGGCGAAGGCGGCUCACUGGCCCGGUACUGACGCUGAGGUGCGAAAGCGUGGGGAGCAAACAGG